This 301-nucleotide ribosomal RNA is filed under the name uncultured bacterium. RNAcentral's name for it is "partial 16S ribosomal RNA". It matches the Rfam family "Bacterial small subunit ribosomal RNA", at positions 509 to 809 of the family's 1533-position model. The record is from RNAcentral.
CAGUAGCCGCGGUAAUACGUAGGGUGCGAGCGUUGAUCGGAAUUACUGGGCGUAAAGCGUGCGCAGGCGGUUCGUUAAGACAGAUGUGAAAUCCCGGGGCUUAACCUGGGAACUGCAUUUGUGACUGGCGGGCUAGAGUAUGGCAGAGGGGGGUAGAAUCCCACGUGUAGCAGUGAAAUGCGUAGAGAUGUGGAGGAAUACCGAUGGCGAAGGCAGCCCCCUGGGCCAAUACUGACGCUCAUGCACGAAAGCGUGGGGAGCAAACAGGAUUAGAUACCCGCGUAGUCCCUGUCUCUUAUAA